RNAcentral lists this ribosomal RNA (460 nucleotides) under uncultured bacterium. RNAcentral's name for it is "partial 16S ribosomal RNA". It matches the Rfam family "Bacterial small subunit ribosomal RNA", at positions 338 to 795 of the family's 1533-position model. The record is from RNAcentral.
CCUACGGGGUGCAGCAGUGAGGUAUAUUGGUCAAUGGACGAGAGUCUGAACCAGCCAAGUAGCGUGAAGGAUGACUGCCCUAUGGGUUGUAAACUUCUUUUAUAUGGGAAUAAAAUGUUCCACGUGUGGGAUUUUGUAUGUACCAUAUGAAUAAGGAUCGGCUAACUCCGUGCCAGCAGCCGCGGUAAUACGGAGGAUCCGAGCGUUAUCCGGAUUUAUUGGGUUUAAAGGGAGCGUAGGUGGAUUGUUAAGUCAGUUGUGAAAGUUUGCGGCUCAACCGUAAAAUUGCAGUUGAAACUGGCAGUCUUGAGUACAGUAGAGGUGGGCGGAAUUCGUGGUGUAGCGGUGAAAUGCUUAGAUAUCACGAAGAACUCCGAUUGCGAAGGCAGUUCACUGGACUGCAACUGACACUGAGGCUCGAAAGUGUGGGUAUCAAACAGGAUUAGAUACCCUAGUAGUC